RNAcentral lists this ribosomal RNA (500 nucleotides) under uncultured bacterium. Its description in RNAcentral is "partial 16S ribosomal RNA". It matches the Rfam family "Bacterial small subunit ribosomal RNA", at positions 30 to 523 of the family's 1533-position model. The record is from RNAcentral.
AUUGAACGCUAGCGGCAUGCCUUACACAUGCAAGUCGAACGGCAGCACGGGAGCAAUCCUGGUGGCGAGUGGCGAACGGGUGAGUAAUAUAUCGGAACGUGCCCAGUCGUGGGGGAUAACGCAGCGAAAGCUGUGCUAAUACCGCUUACGAUCUACGGAUGAAAGCGGGGGAUCGCAAGACCUCGCGCGAUUGGAGCGGCCGAUAUCAGAUUAGCUAGUUGGUGGGGUAAAGGCCCACCAAGGCGACGAUCUGUAGCUGGUCUGAGAGGACGACCAGCCAAACUGGAACUGAGACACGGUCCAGACUCCUACGGGAGGCAGCAGUGGGGAAUUUUGGACAAUGGGCGCAAGCCUGAUCCAGCAAUGCCGCGUGCAGGAUGAAGGCCUUCGAGUUGUAAACUGCUUUUGUACGGAACGAAACGGCCCUUUCUAAUACAGGGGGCUAAUGACGGUACCGUAAGAAUAAGCACCGGCUAACUACGUGCCAGCCGCCGCUGUAA